This is a long non-coding RNA of Helianthus annuus (common sunflower), 948 nucleotides long. RefSeq lists it as uncharacterized. The record is from RefSeq and is a predicted model, not a curated record. The transcript is spliced from 3 exons. Lineage: Eukaryota; Viridiplantae; Streptophyta; Magnoliopsida; Asterales; Asteraceae.
UCCUAAUAAAAUAAUUAGACGUGUUUAAUGGCUUAAAAAAAGACAUAUAAUAGCAAUGACUAUGACUUUCACAUAAAAUUGAUUUCAAGCCCUAUAACUGUUCGAUUCAAAGGAAUUUCAUAACUAAAAUAUGAUUGCUAUCUACUAACAAAUGGGCUAAGGAUUGGGCUGCGCUAUUCGGCCGUCACUUUUGUAAAACCCUCGCGACCUCUCAAUCUAUCUAUCCUCUUCAAUCGCUUCCUGAUCCCUCAGUUCCGCCAUGCCACUCCGCCGUGACCACUACGCCACACUAAUGCGCAGCCAUCAAGCUGCUAUCACUCGAGUCCUUUGAUCUACGAACCUGAAACAAGAUUAAGUUGUGAACCGCCACCGCAUACCGCCGAUGCACCACUGACCAGAGUUUUCGUUGCUGGCAUCUUCGUUCAUUGGAGUGGAUAUAGCUGGCAACACUAAUCGUCUCCGCGAAAGUAAUCCGUUUGCUCCGCUCUUCGGUGGUGGUUCCUAUGUUCGUUAAGGACUUCUUUUAUUAUUAUUUUGCUUUGCUUGGCUAAAUUAAGGUAAUCUGGGAUAACAUGGGAUUUCUGUGAGGAGCGUUAGGAAGUUGCUGACCAAGAUUCUUUAUUUCAGUAACGUAAUAAAAUGUAAUUAAGAUCUUUUAUUUAAUGUAAUGGAUUGGUUUUUAGUUUUGAUAUCUGUGAGAGUGACACGUCAGCCCUAUUCGGGUCGGGGUGUUACAAUUAUGGUAUCAGAGCUAAGGCUCUUUCCUGUAGAAAACUUAAACCUUAAAAACUAAACCUGUGAGUUAGUGGGUAGACGUUGGGUUAGGAUUUCAACUUUCGUCAACCUUUAUACUCUUGAGUUCGUCUUCUUUGGGUCUUUUGCUGAAGGCAUUCCUUUGUCGAUCUCUACUAAAUUUGCUUAUGAUCAUGUUCGGUAUCUGAAUCUGUU